UCAUAUGCUAGACUCGACCCACACGAUGUAAUCUGCUCAUCGAUGACAUGCAUCAAUCUACCACUCUGUGUAACCCUUUCUUCAUCUUUACUGCCACAGACAUGACAAAGAGCAUACAGAGAGCAAGAGCAAUAAAACAUCAUAAGCAUAGCAAAUCACAUAAACAGCAAAAAUCCAAGGAAAUCCAUAGUUAAAGAACAAAAAAUCUAAUGAGUUUCUGAUUUAUACAAUUUGAUUCGAGCGCAUCCAAUUCAACUAAAUAAGCACUUGAAAGAGGUAGUGUCAAUAAACAUCUAUAAUAAUUUGAAUAAUACUUUGGAGUAUAGAGCUAUGGCCAUAGUGACAGAGAAUCCUAAAUCUCCUGAGGGAAAAGGAAGGUGGUUUGCCAAUAAUUCAGCACAUCGCCACAGUAACACACCACAGUUCUUAUUCCUUCAAAUCUGAUGCCUCCUAUGCCCCCGUUCUGGAUACGCUGGUUUGGGUUCUGUACUUCGUGAUGAAGACAAUACUAUCAAAGCUUCGGUUCGUAUUCCUUGCAAAGCCGAAUGAAUGCAUGACCAUUUUUGCCGGAUUGUUAAGAGCACAACAGGGAGGAAUCACCAAUCUGAAAGUGAAAUCGGACUUCUUACAAGCCAUCAGCUACCUCAAAAAGACCACUCUCUCUGACUGCUUUACUUUAGCAACUCAUGUCGAUUGAACACGAUGAACCCAUAUCAAAAGAGCAUUCUCUGUGACUGCUUUACUUUAGCAACUCAUGUCAAUGUAACUCGAUGAACCCGUAUCAAAGGGGAGGAUAACAAAUCUGCUCAUGAUGUAGCAUACCAAGCUAGAAACAAUUUGUAAUCACUCACUAUGAAGUGCACCCUAGCAGAAAUCCUCCAGCACACCAUCCUUUUUGUGCUGACUCUACAACUAAACUAAUAUAGUCUCUUUCUUCACAAAAAAAAAAACACUGAGCUUAAUCCUACAUAAAAGUCAGAAUUCCUUAUCGAUGAUCCACGUUUACAGUAUCAUAUAAAAUAUGCAAAGGUCUUGUAGCACAAUUGUAUCAAACAUAGCAAGCAAAAGGAGCCAAUGAUCAGAAUGUAGCAGAACUAAACACCUCUAUGUCAGAACAACUGGAACACUUAACCAAAACCAACCUGGGAUCCUCUCCGCUACUCCUGUUAGGUUCAGCUGUCAUAAACUGUUGAAACCCUAAAUUGGACAUAAAUCCCCAGGGACUGCCUCAUUAUUGCUCUGUGUUCCCUGACUAAACCGGCCAGCACAUUUUCCACUUCAGAUCAAUGGCCUAUUCUCACGUCUUUAUCCAACAAGUCAUUGUAUUUUAUGAGCUGGAUCAAUCCUUAGGACAAGAUUGAUAUCAAUCCAUCCAAGAGUUACCAUUAGUGCAUUACAUGUAAAAGAAUCAACCAUCCAAUGAACACUGGGCAGCUCAACUAUCAGAAGCCAUUUACGACCAUGAGAGAUCACCACAAGACCAAACUAAAACUUCACAUUAACAUAUUCUUCAGACAUCUUCCUGAACCAAUGAUCUUUUUUGAUUUGCGUAGACUUCACACUUGAGGUCAUCAAAUCACAACCUUUGAUGAACUCAACAAUGCCAGUCUCUGUCUUCGACAAGAUUUCCAAGCGGAAGAUAUACAUCUGGUGACUUCACACUUGAGUGUUGCCUGUUCACGUGCUUAUCAGGUCAUCAUCAUAUUACAUCUUAAAAUCAUUCAAGUGUUUGUCUUGCUCCUUCAUGUACUAGAUAGUUCCACCAGAAAUGAAAUCAAAAUAUCAUCAACCUUAGGUUGACAAAAAUCUCAAUUUCAUAUUUGCCUAUAAUCCCAACAAAAAGAACAAAUCUUUAAGGAUAGCACUCAUUACACUAAAAAAACCAACUUUAUCAAAAAUAAAGAUCAGAAAAAUAACAACUGAUUCAAGAAUGUAAUUGGAUCAGAAAAACCUAAAGUUGCAAGCAAAACUUAUAUACAGUUUCAGAUUUCAAGAAUGCAUUGGGAAUGAUAGAGAACCUAAGCCACCUGGUAAGAUUCACUGAAUGAAGGAAGAAAGCUUGCAUACAGUACAAGAUAAUUAACACUGAACGAAAUAAGAAAAAGGAGGAAAGGAACGAAGAUCACUCAUAAGCCACAAAGUAGGAAAUGAGAAGGAAAACGGAGGAAAAAAAAGGAAAAGGAAGUCAAGAAACGGACCUAAUAUUUAAGAAAGAGGGAUCAAAACCCCGUCGCCGCCGCAUCCUCUCUUCUACAUUCUCUUCUUCCCUUGCCUCCGCCUCGGCUAGAGUUAUCGCAGCCAAGGGGAGGGAGUCACUCACGGAUCGCACG
Molecule: long non-coding RNA, 2330 nt
Filed under: Musa acuminata (dwarf banana)
Lineage: Eukaryota; Viridiplantae; Streptophyta; Magnoliopsida; Zingiberales; Musaceae
Description: long non-coding RNA (MACU_LNC004312)
Source: RNAcentral